UCCUACGGGAGGCAGCAGUGGGGAAUAUUGGACAAUGGGGGGAACCCUGAUCCAGCCAUGCCGCGUGUGUGAAGAAGGCCCUCGGGUUGUAAAGCACUUUCAGCGAGGAAGAACGCCUAGCGGUUAAUACCCGCUAGGAAAGACAUCACUCGCAGAAGAAGCACCGGCUAACUCCGUGCCAGCAGCCGCGGUAAUACGGAGGGUGCAAGCGUUAAUCGGAAUUACUGGGCGUAAAGCGCGCGUAGGUGGCUUGAUAAGCCGGUUGUGAAAGCCCCGGGCUCAACCUGGGAACGGCAUCCGGAACUGUCAAGCUAGAGUGCAGGAGAGGAAGGUAGAAUUCCCGGUGUAGCGGUGAAAUGCGUAGAGAUCGGGAGGAAUACCAGUGGCGAAGGCGGCCUUCUGGACUGACACUGACACUGAGGUGCGAAAGCGUGGGUAGCAAACAGGAUUAGAUACCCUGGUAGUCCACGCCGUAAACGAUGUCGACCAGCCGUUGGGUGCCUAGCGCACUUUGUGGCGAAGUUAACGCGAUAAGUCGACCGCCUGGGGAGUACGGCCGCAAGGUUAAAACUCAAAUGAAUUGACGGGGGCCCGCACAAGCGGUGGAGCAUGUGGUUUAAUUCGAUGCAACGCGAAGAACCUUACCUACUCUUGACAUCCUGCGAAUUUGGUAGAGAUACCUUAGUGCCUUCGGGAACGCAGAGACAGGUGCUGCAUGGCUGUCGUCAGCUCGUGUUGUGAAAUGUUGGGUUAAGUUCUCGUAACAAGCGCAACCCUUGUCCUUAUUUUGCCACCCCGUAAUGGCGGGAACUCUAAGGAACUGCCGUACAAACCGGAAGAAGUUGGGGAACAACGUCAAGUCUCAUGGCCCUACAGUAAGGCUACCAACGGCUCAUCAGAGUC
This 903-nucleotide ribosomal RNA is filed under the name uncultured bacterium. Its description in RNAcentral is "bacterial SSU rRNA". It matches the Rfam family "Bacterial small subunit ribosomal RNA", at positions 337 to 1236 of the family's 1533-position model. The record is from RNAcentral.